CGUGGAUCCUUUAUGGAAUGUGAUUUAAGAAACUUCAUAAAGAUGUUUCUGGGAGCAGUGAAGUCUUCAAAGGAAAAUUCUUGGGAAGUUGGAAACCUGGUGGGAGGGAAGAUGUAAUCUUUUUCUCAUUUCAGAUGAACUUCUGCCUUCCUACAUGUGAACUUCAAAGCCUUUGAUAGUCAUGAAGCAUCAGAGGAGCCUUUAUGCUAAGUAAAACCUGUGUGAAAAGAGCGCUGCUUCUGAUCCCAUCAGGAGCUGCUAUAUAUUUCACUCCUUCUUAUGUUUUUCAUCCUCUCAGCCUGGAUAAAGCAGUCAGUCUGCAUUUGUUUGGGUGGUCAUGGCCAUACCUUUACUAUGCUGUGCGCUGUCAGAGUGGAGAAGCUGCAGCCUAACAGGACAGGCCGUGGUGUAGCCAGAGGAAGUGCUGAAGUAGUACAGGCACCUCAAGAGAAAAUGCCUAUGAAGAGCAAGCAAAUAGCAUUGGGGACYUUGCUGGGAGAAGGCACAUAGUGUUGAAAAGUGAAUUCCUCUUGAUGUGAAUGGAAUGUAAUUUUUGACCUUGCCCUGAAGAGAGUCACUUUCUGCAAGGAUGAGCUGAACUAUGGACUGAGGCAAGUGGAACCAUUUUUUUCAUUUUUUUUUAAGCUUCAUGUCUGGGUCGUUACCUUUAUACAAUGG
Molecule: long non-coding RNA, 678 nt
Filed under: Apteryx rowi (Okarito brown kiwi)
Lineage: Eukaryota; Metazoa; Chordata; Aves; Apterygiformes; Apterygidae
Description: lncRNA (ENSARWG00000010160.1)
Source: RNAcentral